AAAAGGACUGGGGUGAAGGAAGCCUUCAGAGAUCCAACUACCGAUUUACAGGGAAUCCAUGGGACAGAAGAACAUGUUAGACUAUACUGAGGAGAUGUAAUCAAACUCAGACUGAGAAAUUCUACAGGACAUAAAAGCACAAUUCUUCAACAAAGAAAUUGCAAGAGAAAAAAAAAAGAUGAAAGUGGAAUCUCAAAAUUAAAAGAAACUCAAAAGACUACCAUCAUUUUACCAUAGGUGGCUCUAAUUUCACUCCUGAUUAAAAUAAGCAAGGGGAAGAAAACCUAUCUGUAAAAUUUAUGAGACGAAUAUUUGAAAGUACAUGUUCGAUAUUAACUAAUUAUUUUUAGGUGUGAUAAUGGUAUUUUAGUUACGUUUAAAGGCAAGUUAUUAUCUUUUAGGGUUUCACACUGAAAUAUUUAUAGAUGAAAUCAUAUGAUAUCUGGGAUCUGCUUCAAUAUAGUGGAGGGGAAGGAACAGAUGGAGGUGAUGAUAUAGCACAAUUGGCCAUGGGCUUAUGGUUAUUGGCACCGGAUGUAUACCUGGGAAUUCAUUAUAUCAUUUUAUCUGCUUCUGAGUGUAUUUGAAAUUCUCCAUAAUAAAACAAUAAUAUCAA
Molecule: long non-coding RNA, 616 nt
Organism: Aethalodelphis obliquidens (Pacific white-sided dolphin)
Lineage: Eukaryota; Metazoa; Chordata; Mammalia; Artiodactyla; Delphinidae
Exons: 2
Source: RefSeq, a predicted model, not a curated record